GGUGAAGGAGCUUGUUGAGAAUAGCCUCUGCGCCGGUGCUACCUCCAUAUCCAUCGUUGUUUAAGGAUGGAGGACUCCAGCUCAUCCAGGUUUCUGUUAACGGCCAUAGCAUCCGGGCAGCAUUUACUGUACUGAUUCAUGGAUCAUUUAGCUGGAGCCUGGAGGAUUAAUCAUUGCUAGUUAUCUGUGAGCACAGGUAAGCCUUUUGAAUCAGGAUGGUAUUGCUGACAGGAGCCAGAACACAAUAGAGUCCAAGUUGAUGAGUGCUAACACUACAAGG
Molecule: long non-coding RNA, 280 nt
Organism: Dioscorea cayenensis subsp. rotundata (Guinea yam)
Lineage: Eukaryota; Viridiplantae; Streptophyta; Magnoliopsida; Dioscoreales; Dioscoreaceae
Exons: 3
Source: RefSeq, a predicted model, not a curated record